GAAAUGCGAUAAGUAAUGUGAAUUGCAGAAUUCAGUGAAUCAUCGAAUCUUUGAACGCACAUUGCGCCCGCCAGCAUUCUGGCGGGCAUGCCUGCCCGAGCGUCAUUUCAACCCUCGCUCGCCCCUUCGGGGGCGGCGGUGUUGGGGACCGGCCCCGCCCAGCGCGGCGGCCGCCCCCGAAAUGCAGUGGCGGUCCCGCCGGCGCCUCCCCCGCGUAGUAGCAACACCUCGCGGAUCGGGAGCGCUGGCGCGGUACCAAAGCCGUAAAACCACCAACUGAAGGCCCACGGGCCGAAGAGUUUGACCUCGGAUCAGGUAGGAAUACCCGCUGAACUUAA
This 338-nucleotide unclassified non-coding RNA is filed under the name uncultured Hypocreaceae. RNAcentral describes it as "sequence contains ITS1". The stretch from base 1 to 105 matches the Rfam family "5.8S ribosomal RNA", at positions 50 to 154 of the family's 154-position model. Lineage: Eukaryota; Fungi; Ascomycota; Sordariomycetes; Hypocreales. The record is from RNAcentral.